GCUCUCGUGGCCCAGUUGGUUAGUGCGUCGUACUUAUAAUGCGAAGGUCGAGGGUCCGAUCCCCUCCGAGAGCA
RNAcentral lists this transfer RNA (74 nucleotides) under Dendronephthya gigantea. Its description in RNAcentral is "tRNA-Ile". It matches the Rfam family "tRNA". Rfam says of the family: Transfer RNA (tRNA) molecules are approximately 80 nucleotides in length. Their secondary structure includes four short double-helical elements and three loops (D, anti-codon, and T loops). Further hydrogen bonds mediate the characteristic L-shaped molecular structure. tRNAs have two regions of fundamental functional importance: the anti-codon, which is responsible for specific mRNA codon recognition, and the 3' end, to which the tRNAs corresponding amino acid is attached (by aminoacyl-tRNA synthetases). tRNAs cope with the degeneracy of the genetic code in two manners: having more than one tRNA (with a specific anti-codon) for a particular amino acid; and 'wobble' base-pairing, i.e. permitting non-standard base-pairing at the 3rd anti-codon position. The record is from RNAcentral. Lineage: Eukaryota; Metazoa; Cnidaria; Anthozoa; Malacalcyonacea; Nephtheidae.